CGGCUGGGAGUGCAUGCACACACAUGCCCCCUUUUUCUUGCCUACUAACAGGAUCUAUAGAAGGAGUACAUAAUGACAGGAGGAGGCUUGCUCACAGGGUGGUUACAGGCAUCCAAGAGAGUCAACAUAAAUGUGAAAAGUUUCCAAAAUAUCAGAUUCAGUCCUAUGUAAUCUGGUUUCCAUUGCAUUCUCUUGGCCAAAGCAAGUUGCAAGACAAGUCCAAAUUCAAGAAGGUCAAGAAAUACACUCCAUCUCCAGAGAUAUCUAUGACUUUC
RNAcentral lists this long non-coding RNA (275 nucleotides) under Pan troglodytes (chimpanzee). Its description in RNAcentral is "long non-coding RNA NONPTRT014022". Lineage: Eukaryota; Metazoa; Chordata; Mammalia; Primates; Hominidae. The record is from RNAcentral.